This is a long non-coding RNA of Danio aesculapii, 280 nucleotides long. RefSeq lists it as uncharacterized. The record is from RefSeq and is a predicted model, not a curated record. Lineage: Eukaryota; Metazoa; Chordata; Actinopteri; Cypriniformes; Danionidae. The transcript has 3 exons.
GUUAAUUGCUGAAUCUGCACCUGAAAAGAAGACGUCUCUCACUCGACCCGAUCGAGGCAGCUAUUAUAAGAAAGCAGUCACAUCAAAUAAUGGCUGAAAGGAAGCUGCGAAGGAGAAAGGCCAAGCCACUGGAGGAGGCCAUCCAGUUUUCACUUCUGGGGAAGGACAGAAAUGGGCUUGAGUGCAAAUUUAUCAAUGAUAUUAAAGGCAGAGGUGUGUUCAGCUGUACUGAGUUUGAAAAAGGGAAUUUCCUGCUGGAAUACAGAGGUGAACUUAUAAG